GGGCCCGUAGCUCAACGGUAGAGCAAGUGACUCUUAAUCACUAGGUUCUCGGUUCGAAUCCGAGCGGGCUCACCA
Molecule: transfer RNA, 75 nt
Filed under: Chloroflexota bacterium
Lineage: Bacteria; Bacillati; Chloroflexota
Also listed under: 1 other name
Description: tRNA-Lys
Rfam family: tRNA
About the family: Transfer RNA (tRNA) molecules are approximately 80 nucleotides in length. Their secondary structure includes four short double-helical elements and three loops (D, anti-codon, and T loops). Further hydrogen bonds mediate the characteristic L-shaped molecular structure. tRNAs have two regions of fundamental functional importance: the anti-codon, which is responsible for specific mRNA codon recognition, and the 3' end, to which the tRNAs corresponding amino acid is attached (by aminoacyl-tRNA synthetases). tRNAs cope with the degeneracy of the genetic code in two manners: having more than one tRNA (with a specific anti-codon) for a particular amino acid; and 'wobble' base-pairing, i.e. permitting non-standard base-pairing at the 3rd anti-codon position.
Source: RNAcentral